Molecule: long non-coding RNA, 3320 nt
Organism: Ruditapes philippinarum (Manila clam)
Lineage: Eukaryota; Metazoa; Mollusca; Bivalvia; Venerida; Veneridae
Exons: 5
Source: RefSeq, a predicted model, not a curated record
AAUAAUGUUUAGUAGGUGUGAAACAUUAAGUACGAAAUGAACUGGGUACGAAUAUCACUCAUGUGGUUUUACUUGGUUUUUAUCGUAAUAUCACUUAUCAAUACGGAAGGCUCCGAGGCAUGCAUUACUGUUUUUAGAGGAAAUUUUCAGUGUUAAAUUUGGAAUUUAUCAGUCAUGAAUUGGAAAAUUUGCUGUCUAUUUUCUGUUGGGAACGGUGCCGUUUUCCGGUAUCAGUUGUAUAAGGAAAAACACUGGGUUGUUGUUAAGAUUUUAGUCAUUGACUAGAUUUCUACCAGAAUUUUUUUGUUUUUACUCUUCUUGUGCAAGUUGUGGUUAUAGAGUGUGAUGAACAUAUUGACUCUUACUUUGUAAAACGUUCAGAUACAAAGACAGUUGCUAAAAAAUAUCAAGAUCUCAAGUUUGUUUUGCCCCUGUCUUGCAUAUCUGUAAUGGAAGAACAGUUAUUAUGGAUAAAUACAGGUACUUCAAUAAAAUGUAAUUUUGGGUACUGUCAGAUCUACAUGUUACGCUACAAGUUUCUUCUCAUAAUUACAUAUUUAACAACUAGUAUGGCUAAUGAGUACAAAAUUUUGGAGGUACUACACUACAAGGCAGAAGAGAAUAUCUGUCCUUGCAAGCAGUCUUGAAGACCUUCUGAAGAAAGCUGGUGACAAGCAACAGUUGCAAGGAGGAAGUUUGAUUGUUGUGCUGGAAAAAGAUGUGACAGAAAUGGAAGAAAACGCCAUCCUUGACAUAUUCAAAACUAAGUAUUGAUGCUUCUAGAAGACCAACAAUUAUGAGAACCAGAUAUUCCAAAAGACACUGUUGUAAUGUUUGGGCAGACACCCAAGAUGCCAACAUGUCAAAGACUGAGACAGAGUCCACAACUGUUACCACAGCGACAGAAAUUGUAACACCAUCUUAUGUUGUUGGAAAUUAAAUUAAUUCUUGCAGUAGGCCACAUCCAACCAUUUGUUGACAAUCUAGAGAUAUUGUUUGAAGCAGUAGCUACACUUAAACCUGGAGGAAAAGAGUGCAAAGAUGAUUUGGACGUUAUAAGAGCCAUAGAAAGUAAUACAGGAUUCAAACAUGGAAAGGGGUGCAAGACUAGAUAAAUUGUAGUUCUACAUAAGGAUAUUGAAGAAGCUAAUCUGUCAAAGGUCCUGUCAUCACAGCCUAAUACUCCUCCAAGUGAAGCCUUGUUUUUAUUUUUAACAACAUAGAACUGGACAAACAGUAUAUUGUUGGAGACCAGUGCAAGAUACCACUUGAGACAGUCUUUCUUAGUCACAAGUCGGCUGGGUAUUUACACUUUGUGGAAAAAUUGGAAAAACUAAUGAACAAAUAGAACCAACAUUUUAAAUUAAAUUCAACCUUCUGUGUCAUGGACAUAUUAUUGACUUCUUAACAGCUUACCUUUUACCAUGAAAAAACCUGCUUUUUUGCACUUGCAAAAACAAAGGUGCAGAAUAGCUGUGUGGUAACCAUCAGCUGAUCAGUGCCUUUAUUUUUGCUGCAUAGAUGGUGCAAUCCCUCCCCUUCCUUAAUCAGACAUUUAAAUCCUCUUGAUGUCUGAACAUGAAGCUGUAUAUUUUGGCUCUAUUUGAAAUAGCAAAUGUCAAGUGUCAAUAUUUUUCAAAACAGCUAAGACUAUGCUUCUUUUUAGGAACUUUUAAAUCCAGUGAUUUAUCAAAUUAUUAUUCACUAGCAGAAAAGAUUGACUUAAUAAUGCAGUGUUUAAACACUAAUUUUAUUAUUUAUGACAUCAGUAUGUUAUUGCAGACUGUGACAUUUUUAUGUCAAUGAAGCAUUAAAAUGCCAUAUAUUAUAAAUUGUUUAUUACAGUUAAGAAGUAUUAGUGCUAUUUGUUGUUUGCAAAUGUUAAUAUGCUCUUAUUUUGUACAUGCUAUGUAGUAAGUUUAAUAUAUUGCAUUGAUGUCUUAAAUAAGUUUGUAUUUUGUUGAUGUAUUACUGAAUUUACUGUCUAACUUUAACACAUGCUCACUUCAUUAUCAUAUCAGAUUUAUUAAAUUUUCAUUUACUGAUUUCAAGUGGUAAGCAGAAUUAUUUACAGAGAUCACUAGUUUUCACUGAUCAGGCACCUUUGUUGUGCAUUUAAAUUUUUGGUGUUUUUGGAGUCAAAGAAAUGAUUUAUCAAAAUAUUGUUUAAAGUUGCAUUGUAACUUUUUAGAGUGCUAAAGUGUACCAUUUUUUUUGUCUAAGCCUUAAGCGCACCACAACAAAAGACAUUUAUGAACCAUCAGGAUAUAUACUGUUACUGAUAAAAAAUAGAGCACUAGUGCACAGACUUUUGACCCCCCCCCCCUCCUCGUAACCAUGAAGUGUAUUAUAAUUUGUCUGACAGUACUCGGACACAUUAUUGGGGACAGUCAACAUUGAAUGACCGAUUUUUGACACUGUCUGAAAAUACUGUUUGUUUUUUUCCAACCCAAAUAUGAUACAUAUAUGUGCCAAAACCGGGUUUUUUACAUUUUACAGGGAGGUAGGCUUUACUGUGUAAAAAGGUUUUAUUUUUGUAGAGAGAAGUUAAAUCCAUUUUAUAUAUGUUUUCAUUUUACCUGAAAUUCUACUGAUAUCCAUAUAUCAAUUUGUUUUUGUUGUUUAAUUGUCUAUCUAUUUAUUUACUUAAUUGUUUGCCUAAAUAUAACUGUAAUCUGUUUUAUGUAUUUAUUUUAUACAUUCAUUUUUAAUCCCCUUCUGCAUAGAGGGGAGGGGUCAAAUAUUCAUGUUUAUAACUUUUUGACAUGGAAGAUUUUAAAUAUUUUAGCAUAAAUAAUCACGACCAUGGCACAACAGCCAGGUUUUUCUCUAAAAGACAUGGUUUGUUAAAGAUCAAGAAGUACAGAUUCCUGUCCACUGCGAAGGGGAUAUAGUUGUCCUUCAGACUGCCUUGUUUUUAAUUGUCUGAAGUUUCAAUAUGAAAAUGCUCUUUUUAAUUUUGUGAUUUGUAACACCAGAAUUUCGGGUAUAUUGCAUUGGAUUGUAACAUGGCUGACAAGGUGACAGUAAAAUUGCCACCUGUAGGAAAUGCUACAUGAGUUGACAGUGUUUUUCCAAAAGUUGUCAACUUUACUGUCACUCUGUCAGGCAUGCAAUAUUAAUUUUAUUAUACCAAAAAUACUAUUAUGAUAAUGGUAGGGGGUCUUGAUCUAUUUAACAUUUAUGUGCAGUAAUGAAGAACAAUUAGUAUUUAACCUAAAUUUCAAAAUGUUAUUAAAAUGUGUAUAAUAUGUUUAUGUGUCAUUGUUCACAUUUUUUGGUUGAUCGUGUUUUGAAAUAAAACAUGGAAACUAUUAAAA